AUGUCGUCCUUUUCGUCCCCCUACCCGUCUCUGAAGCCUGCGUGGUCCCUGCCAUCUGACCUCUGGCUCCUCAGAGAGCUUUCUUCAGACUCCAAAGCCAGUACUUUAAUUCUCUCAUCCUCCCCCACUGAGGUCCUAGUGCAGGGCCGAGGGGCUGCUGACCGGUUCCGUAAGAUGGCCAGAAUCCUAGCGCACAUCUGCGGGUUGACCCUGAGCUUGAAAAGAUAUAUUGGAAAUAGCCCAGCAGUACAGUGGGUGGCCUUCCAUUUGAAGAUACAAAAUAGAAUAAGAAAUGGAAUGUUAUUAAACAUCUUCACUGAAGCUAAAAUGAAUCUGACCAAGGAUUCUGCCAUACUUAAGAGUCUGUUAUCUGUUUGCCCACAUCGAAGAAGUGUAGAAGAUUUCAGACAAAUUCAAGAACAUUUAAAGAAGAACAUCUCAUUUCAGCAUUUGCCAAAUGAAGUCCAACUCCAACGUUGCCAAAUUGUAAUCUAUCAUGAGUACGAAGCUAAAAGUGUAAUUAUAAAGAAAGGACGCUGGCCAAUGGAAUGCUACUUUGUGCUUUCUGGAAAAUUAGCAGCUGUAUCAAGUUUAACAGCUGAAAAUUCCAACUCAGAAAUUAUAAGUGAAUUUGAAGAAGGAGACUUUGUAGGGGAAACUUGUCUGUUAACUAACACCCGCCGACCUACUACAAUUGUAUGCAAAUCAGAUGCAGAACUUCUGGUGAUAAGUAAGAAGGACUUCGACUACAUUCUCUCAGAUAUAGUACAAGAACAAUUUCAAGGAAUGUGCAGCUUCAUAAGGGAUCUGCCAAUGUUCUCUCCCUGGUCAAAAGAGAAGAUUGAUUAUCUUGUUCACUGUUCCUCACUCAGACGCUAUAGGGCUGGGUUUCUUGUCUGUGAAAAUUUAUACUCCAACUACCUCAUCAUAAUCAGAUCGGGUCGGUGCCUGGUAAUGGCCCAGAUAGGAGAGAAUAUAUCUUCACGAAGCAGUUCGGACACACUGAAGUCAGGUCCAUGAUUGGAAUUAAACACCAUCCUGCCAACCACAUAUGGUGGCUCUUAGUGAGAAAUCCUCAACCCUUCAGAUAUGACUUAAGAGAGAAUUCAUGGGUAUGUAUUAUGUAUAUAUAAUAUGCAUUCCCCUAAUUUAAUAAAAUUCAUUUUUUACCAAAGCA
This 1177-nucleotide long non-coding RNA is filed under the name Phascolarctos cinereus (koala). RNAcentral's name for it is "lncRNA (ENSPCIG00000000349.2)". The record is from RNAcentral. Lineage: Eukaryota; Metazoa; Chordata; Mammalia; Diprotodontia; Phascolarctidae.